RNAcentral lists this ribosomal RNA (253 nucleotides) under uncultured bacterium. RNAcentral's name for it is "partial 16S ribosomal RNA". It matches the Rfam family "Bacterial small subunit ribosomal RNA", at positions 524 to 776 of the family's 1533-position model. The record is from RNAcentral.
UACGUAGGGGGCGAGCGUUGUCCGGAAUUAUUGGGCGUAAAGAGCGUGUAGGCUGUUCGGUAAGUCUGCCGUGAAAACCCGAGGCUCAACCUCGGGACGUCGGCGGAAACCAUCUGGCUAGAGUCCGGAAGAGGAGAGUGGAAUUCCCGGUGUAGCGGUGAAAUGCGCAGAUAUCGGGAAGAACACCCGUGGCGAAGGCGGCUCUCUGGGACGGUACUGACGCUGAGACGCGAAAGCGUGGGGAGCGAACAGG